RNAcentral lists this ribosomal RNA (1501 nucleotides) under uncultured Bordetella sp. Its description in RNAcentral is "partial 16S-23S ribosomal RNA intergenic spacer". It matches the Rfam family "Bacterial small subunit ribosomal RNA". Lineage: Bacteria; Pseudomonadati; Pseudomonadota; Betaproteobacteria; Burkholderiales; Alcaligenaceae. The record is from RNAcentral.
GGUUUGAUCUCAUGGCUCAGAUUGAACGCUGGCAGGAUGCUUUACACGCUGACAAGUCGAACGGCAGCACGGACUUCCCGGUCUGGUGGCGAGUGGCGAACGGGUGAGUAAUGUAUCGGAACGUGCCUGGCUCGAGGGGAUAACUGCAUGGCGCGCAACUAAUACCACCUGUCGCCCUUCGGGGGAAAGCGGGGGACCUUCGGGCCUCGCACUAAUAGAGCGGCCGAUAUCGGAUUAGCUAGUUGGUGGAGGUAACGGCUCACCAAGGCGACGAUCCGUAGCUGGUUUGAAGAGGACGACCAGCCACACUGGGACUGAGACACGGCCCAGACUCCUGGGAGAGCAGCAGUGGGAAAUUUUGGACAAUGGGGAAACCUGAUCCAGCCAUCCCGCGUGUGCGAUGAAGGCCUUCGGGUUGUAAAGCACUUUUGGCGGGAAAACGGCACGGGAUAAUACCCCGAUGCAACUGGCGAAACACCUGCAGAAUAAGCACCGGCUAACUACGUGCCAGCAGCCGCGGUAAUACGUAGGGUGCAAGCGUUAAUCGGAAUUACUGGGCGUAAAGCGUGCGCAGGCGGUUCGGAAAGAAAGAUGUGAAAUCCCAGAGCUUAACUUUGGAACUUUGCAUUUUUUAACUACCGAGCUAGAAGUGUGUCAGAGGGAGGUGGAAUUCACGUGUAGCAGUGAAGGAAAUGCGUAGAUAUGCGGAGGAACACCGAUGGCGAAAACAGCCUCCUGGGAUAACACUGACGCUCAUGCACGAAAGCGUGGGAGCAAACGGGAUUAGAUACCCUGGUAGUCCACAUGCUAAAGCGAUGUCCAACUAGCUGUUGGGCCUUCGGGCCUUGGUAGCGCCCAGCUAACGCGCGUGAAGUUGACCGCCUGCAGAGUUACGGUCGCAAGAUUAAAACUCAAAGGAAUUGACGGGGACCCGCACAAGCGGUGGAUGAUGUGGAUUAAUUCGAUGCAACGCGAAAACCUUACCUACCCUUGACAUGUCUGGAAUCCCGAAGAGAUUUGGGAGUGCUCGCAAGAGAACCGGAACACAGGUGCUGCAUGGCUGUCGUCAGCUCGUGUCGUGAGAUGUUGGGUUAAGUCCCGCAACGAGCGCAACCCUUGUCGUGUUAGUUGCUACGAAAAGGGCACUCUAAUGAGACUGCCGGUGACAAACCGGAGGAGGUGGGGAUGACGUCAAGUCCUCAUGGCCCCUUAUGGGCAGGGCUUCGUCAUACAAUGGUCGGGACAGAGGGUCGCCAACCCGCGAGGGGAGCCAAUCCCAGAAACCCGAUCGUAGUCGGAUCGCAGUCUGCAACUCGACUGCGUGAAGUCCGAAUCGCUAGUAAUCGCGGAUCAGCAUGUCGCGGUGAAUACGUUCCCGGGUCGCAUACACCGCCCGUCACACCAUGGGGAGUGGGUUUUGCAGAAGUAGUUAGCCUAACCGUAAGGAGGGCGAUUACCACGGUAGGAUUCAUGACUGGGGUGGCAGUCGUAACAAAGGUAA